This is a non-coding RNA of Cherax quadricarinatus, 270 nucleotides long. Lineage: Eukaryota; Metazoa; Arthropoda; Malacostraca; Decapoda; Parastacidae. The record is from RefSeq and is a predicted model, not a curated record.
ACAGGUUCAGGUUCUCUGGCGGGUUCAGGUAUGGCUUCGGCAACAGGUUCAGGUUCUCUGGCGGGUUCGGGUAUGGCUUCGGCAACAGGUUCAGGUUCUCUGGCGGGUUCGCGUAUGGCUUCAGCAACAGCUUCAGGUUCUUUGGCGGGUUCGGGUAUGGCUUCAGCAACAGGCUCAGGUUCUCUGGCAGGUUCGGGUAAGGUUUCAGCGACAGGUUCAGGUUCAUUGGCGGGUUCGGGUAAGGUUUCAACAACAGGUUCGGCUUUGACG